This is a non-coding RNA of Oryza nivara, 208 nucleotides long. The record is from Rfam. Lineage: Eukaryota; Viridiplantae; Streptophyta; Magnoliopsida; Poales; Poaceae.
CCCAAAAUAAGUUUUGCACUAUUCACGUUCAACGUUUGACCGUUCGUCUUAUUUAAAAUUUUUUUAUGAUUUUUAUUUUUAUUGCUAUUAGAUGAUAAAACAUGAAUAGUACUUUAUGUGUGAUUAAAUAUUUUCAAUUUUUUCACAAAAUUUUCAAAUAAAACAGACGGUUAAACGUUUGACAUGAAUAUUCACGGUUGUAUUUAUU